This 581-nucleotide long non-coding RNA is filed under the name Mytilus galloprovincialis (Mediterranean mussel). Lineage: Eukaryota; Metazoa; Mollusca; Bivalvia; Mytilida; Mytilidae. The record is from RNAcentral.
GUUGUUUUUUUUGUAAAUCACUGAAUAACUGUGCAAAUUUUGCAUCGGAAAUGCAGCGUUUGUUUUUGUUUUAGAGAUUAUUAAUCUUUUUCAAGUUUUGUUACCACACAUAUCCUUCCUUUUUCAGAUGUGAUCUACUGUUGUUCAUGUAGCUCUUGAUAUCAAAUCAACUUGGUUAAAGUUUGGUUACUACAAAAUGAUCAAACCUUUCUGAUAUCGUUUUAUACAUUUUUUAUUUCACAUCCUUUGCCUUUUUUUCUUUUAAAAUUUGUUCAGGUAUGCUCAGCUCAAUAGUUAGUUCUUUGGUAAAGAACUUAUUCAGGUUACAACUCCCUAAGACAAAAUUGACUGUCGGAUAAUUUAUUUAUUCUCUGUGUGUGUGUCUUUGGUCAUAUAGCUCCUACGUGUCUACGUGUCAUCACAUUCCUGGCUUUAACUUGUUAAAAAUUAUUCAUUUUGGUUCAUUCGUAAAUACACUGGACGUUAAGCAACUAACAAUCAAUUAAUCAAUAGAUCGUUCAUUAGAACAGCAGUAUGUACGUCUGAAUGUAUUGAUAUACUUUGUCAUAGCUACAUGUAUG